GAUAGACCAUAAACUCUGGUUUAUGACUAUUCUUUUUGAUUCAUUGCUGCCAUUCCUGAUAUACUGUUUUGGAAUCUUUACAAAUACAAAGGUAGAAUACAUGUGAAAUCUGAUGGGGUUCAUGGAUAUAAGUUUGCUAGUUUGUGAUCUGGUGUAUCUCCUUAGAUCAACCAAAACAUGUAGCUGCUAUGCUAGGACAUUUUGCAAUAGGAUUGAAUGGUUUACUUGAGCCAAAAGAACAUGCAUGGUGACUGGAACACUGGUUUGUACAUGGGGGAAUUAGCAACACUGGUAACAAGAAUAUGCCAAUUAUGUGGUGUAAUAUCUAGAAAACAUUUUAUGCAUUUUAUUUCAUCUCAAUUAUGCUUGCUUAAUUUAAUGUAUUAACAAGCAAUCGAAAUUUGGAAGGCGUGUUGUAUUUGGAUCAAGUGGACCUCAUUGUAGAGAUAUAAGUUGGUAACUUGUUACAUACAUGCAUGAAGUGAAAUUAAAAAGAUUCUACUUUUGUGUGAGUGGCAGUGCAGAUGUUUGUGAGGUAUACUUUUUUGAACCUUGCUUCUAAGGAAGGUGGAAGAGAGUUAAUAAAAGGCUAAGAAUGGUCAAUAAAGAAUAACCUACAUUCAUCACAACUUACGAACACAAAACAAGUGAUCAAAUAUGAAUUCUGUUUUUGCUGCAUAAUUGGUCUUCUGCAUAUUUAGUGCGUAUCAGACUUAUAUGAGCUGAAAUUGAUGUCUUAAAAGAUCUUUUCAUAGUGAAAAGAGAUUACUGUUGUUAGUCACUACCAAAUUGUUUGAAUUAAUUCAACAAGAUUCAUCAAAAAAUGACAUGAAAUAAGCCUACGUGCCAAAUUUAAGAGAAUUCCAAGUUUGUUUGUGCAACUAUCAUAAUUUGAGAGACCUGGAUCCUUGGAUGGAUGAUAGUAGUGCUAGUAGUGAUAGUUAUUCUACUCCACAUUAUAGUAUUGUUUUGAUGCUCCACGGUUAAUUAGCUUCUCUCUUUUAUUGUAGAAUGCCUAGGAGUCAUUAAUAUUGUUUAUUUUUGGUGGAUACCCUGCAUUGUGCGAUUUUUGCAGUGAUUUGCAUGCCUGUGUGUCAAGUUUAUAUUUGAUAUUCAAACCGCAGGUGAUUAAAUGACUAUUUUCCUGCAUCUGUAACCGGAAGCAAAUCUAGUCCAGAUCCUUCAAGUAAAUCAGAUUCUAUCAAGUUUCUUUGGUCCAAUACCAUUUAGGAAUAGCAAAAGUUUGCAAAAACAUCCCAAAGGAAACAUUACAAGGCCUAAAAGUUGAAAAUGCACAUCUGUUGGAGCUGCAUAGAAAGGUAUGAGCCCUUAUUGAAUAGACUCAUCACAGAUGUUUGAGGACUUCACUUACCCAAAUGCUGGAAAAUAUUAUCUACCAUUUCAAAGUUCAAAACCGUAGUUAAAUUUUGAAGGAGUUGGAGCUAGUGCGUGCACCUUUGCUAGUACCGAAAAAUCGAGGCGGAUUUGGAAUCUUUAAUGUGUGAAUUGUAUUAUUUUGAAUUAUCAAUAUAGUAAAGGACCGCUGUUUUUUUACCUUAUCAUGUAAAAAGCAUGCAAAGCCAUUUACAGUGCUCUUAUUCGAGGAGUAUUUUAAUUUUUUUUAUAUUUGUACGCUUGAGUUUCCAUUAAUGUUUGUUUCCAUUCAUUGAACUAUUAUGUGGAUUGUAGAAAUAGUUUAAACUA
Cicer arietinum (chickpea) is the source of this 1704-nucleotide long non-coding RNA. RefSeq lists it as uncharacterized. The record is from RefSeq and is a predicted model, not a curated record. NCBI's taxonomy places the organism in Eukaryota, Viridiplantae, Streptophyta, Magnoliopsida, Fabales, Fabaceae.